CUGACAGUCGCAGUAGAACGUAAUCAGAAACAUCACAUGGGGCGUGUUGGUUGUGGGCGAACGUUGUCCUGGAUACCGAAGCACGAGACGUUACAAAAAUUAUAACUGAUUGCUCAUUAUCUUCUUUGUGUUCAAGCGCAUGUGAACAAAAAUGUGUCCAAUCAGACAAACACAUUUACUCGGAUCAGAAACAGAACGUGUUAUGUCAACACGCCAAUUUAAAAUCUCAGAUUUUUUACUAUUUUCCUGUGGAUUCAUUCAUGGCUCUGAGGCUGGAGUGGAGAAAAAGAAAACCGACCACACAUAACCUAGCACUGGUCAGCAAAGACUGAGGUCACACUGCAAAUCCAGGGGGUGCUGGUUUGGGUAAUGUUAAUGUUAAUGUUGCAUUGCAUCUGUAGUUAUAUUUUGAGCACGCACAAAUGAAAAUAUAACCCCAUCUAUUUUUGAUUAUUUGUUGUAAACAACAGAAUGAUGAAAUGAUAAAACAGCAGGCUACAAAAAAGAUGCUAGCUGCCACAUUUUGUAAUGUAGUAUCAUUCUUAUCAUGUUUGUUUAGCUUAAUAACAUAGAGUAAAGUGAAUCCAUCAGCCUUUGGUUUUUAUGUAUUAUUUAGCUUUUAUACUCUCAGAGUAAAUCAGAUUUUGAAGAGAUUUUUUGGUCCUCACAGUGCAUUUCUAUAUUGGCUUUCUUUAAUUUACAGCAGACAAAGCUUCAAUUCUACAGUUAAUUAGCCUGAGUGUUAUUUCGACCAUGGCUUCCUGAUUGGUAAUUGCGGGUCCCUGCGUAAAGUUUACAGUAAUUGUUUGAUGAUAAAGCAAAAUUUGCUCUGAAAUACUUCAAUUAAGGCUAAAAAAGGACACAGAAACGUGAUCUCAGAUGAACCCAGUUUGACCAGGACUUCACUUUGGAUCUGUUUCCCAGUAACACUUGACUCAGCUGAGUGAUAACCUCCAUGUAGUAUAUAUACGCUCCAUUUAUGUAAUGACAACAUGAAAACAUGAAAACAUGAAUCAGCUUCUGCCUUUGAAAGCGAAGCUUAACUGCUCAAGAACUCCAUGUACUGUCAGGGUGGGGAGCUUGAAACUCCCCCACCGACUGUAUAUGUGUGUGUAUCCGAAGGAUCAUAGGUGCACUACACACACACACACACACAUGCUGGUGUCUAUUUUUAGAGUUAGAAUUAUUUUUUCAGUCCAACCAGAAUCUUAGACCUAACCAGAACCAUUGUUGUUGGUCUCCAUAAGCUCCACAAGAACCUCAGUAUCUAUGCCAGAAAUGUAGGUAACAAAUACACACUCUCUCUCUCUCUCUUGCUCUCUCUCUCUCUCUCACACACACACACACCAGGGAGAUUAAGUCCUGUAAAGUAGACGCAGAGCUACUUGGUAUUCCACCAGAAUACUCCAGCUAGUCGGAGUGAGGAGCACUGAUGUAGGGGGAAGAUGGGUCGACAGAGGAAGACAGGAGCAAAGCAGUCAGAAGCAGGCGUGUCUGGUACGUCCUCUUAUAAACUGCAGACAUGAAACUGCCUUGACAGCUUAUUCUCAAAGCAGAUGCAAAGAAGUAAAGGACGUGGCUUUCUGCAACAAAAGUGCAGGGACGUGAACUUGAAAAACAGAUGCAAAACGACUCAUAUCUGGCUCUGACCCAGUUUGGUGGAGUCCGGCACAGCAUGUGUUCUUGACUAACACAGGCACACACACACACACACACACACUGUGACACCUUUUCCAGGUAAUGGGGUGGCGCUCUUUCCUGAAGCGCGGGUUACAAGGUUUGAGAAGCGACAUAUCUGCUGGGAGCUGGAUGUGUGUUCCACUCCCAUUUACUCAGUUCUUAAACUCAUUUUCACGUGGAGCCAACAACAGACAUAAAGACUCUCACAACACACACACACACACACACACAGAUUUGCACCUACUCUCUUGUCAUGGCACUUUUUUUUUUAAAUUGAUGAUACUUCAUCAGUCCUGCUGUCCCUGUCUAGCACACACACACACACACACACCUCUGUCUCCUUGUCUCCGUGUCCUCCAGCUUCCACUGUUUACCCUCUCCUGUAUCUUCCACGUCUCUUCCUUCCACUGCCCUGUGGACAGAGUGCAGCUGUUGGCAGUGCGGAGUGUGUGUGCGUGUGAGUGACCUUGUCUUAGGUUAGACCAGACCAGGCAGCUCUAUGGUCUGGCACAUAGAAGCAAUAGCCCUGAGGGGGAGAUUAGCUGAGGCGAUACGCUGCUUCAGAUGUUGUCCUCUGCAGCGGGUGUGUCUGUAGAUAAAGUCUGCCUUUAUUGACUGCUCAAUUUUUAUUUUAUUUUGUUUUUUUUAAGACUUUUAUUUGUAGAAAGUAAUAUAACCUAAAAUUAUAUAUUUUUACAGAAGAUUAUAAUGAAUUUAUUUUCUUAUAGCCAAUGGAGUCUCUGGCUUAUAAGGUAAUAUUUGUUUAUGUUGAGUACAAAUAUUUGUUUAUGUUGACACAAAUGAGUAGAAAAGACAAGGCAAAUAUAGUAAGCACCUGGAUGUGGUGCAGCCAUGAUCCAACUAUUUUAAUAUAAGUGCUGCUAAAAGAUGAGUCCACGCGCUGCACUUCUCAUUGGCGUAAAUGUCCACAAGAGGUAUCUAUACUCAAUCAAAGAUAUGCAACAGGUGUUCAGACAGAAAAAUCCAGAAAUUAUUAAUCCUUACAGUGUAUAGACGCAUAAAAUAAAUUAGCACAAGUAUACUGCGUUGGUUUUUUAAAAAAAAAAAAAUUAUAGAAAGUGCGUCAAAAUACUAGGAACUAAUUCUCCCAUGGUGCUUUGUUUCCUCACGGGAUCGGAAGUAAGACGUUCCUUUGCUACUAAGCAGUUGAGCGGCGCUUUUGAAUCCGUUUGAUCAACUUUGAAGUCUGCCGAACACAAUGUCAACACUUGGUUUUCUUCGUUUGGACAGAACUUCAGGCUUAUUGUUUGGCGAGGAUCCUAAAACCGUGAAAACUGACUGUGAGGUUCGGAUUCUCGACGUGGAAUCGCUGCCUGUUCUCAGUGUAUUUAUGCACCUGUGUUCGUCAACCGUCGAAGAAGCAGGCAGCCCUCGAUGACCUGCAGCACUAGUCGGAGACGGCGGUCCAUGGCCUGGAGGUGGGGCUGGAUGAGGACGGGGGACAGACGGUCACGCAGCAGAGACUCCUCCAUCAGGGAACUGAGCCUGUACUCCUCUUUGACCAGCAGCUGGAGCCGCAGAGAUGAGGGAGCCUCCAGGGGGCAGUUAAUCCAAGACCUGUGUGAUAUCCUCCUGACCUCGUGCCAACCCCACGGGACCUGCGUUGUGAGCAUGCAUCACGGAGACAUUCUACGGUCGCAGACUUUAAAGGCCUCGCCACGUGCAAACCAAACAGCAGUUCUACCAUGAGCUCUGGGCAGGAAAGACCUGACGUCCAAUUCUCCGUUCGGUUCCACCAGACCCUUCAAGGGGGAAGUCGAAGCCCACCCAAGACGUCUGAGAGGGGGCGCUGAAGACAACUCCCAUUGGUUUCUUGGUUGUAGGACGCUGUAGGACCCACUAACAUAUGGUUGGCAGCUUCUCCUGCGCCGCAUCAUCAUCUCAGUGAGUCAUCAUUCAUCAUCAUUCGCCAAGACGCUGCCUUUAUUUAAGAGGUUAAUUGAGUUCCAUGUGUUUAAUUCGAAGUGGGAGUUUUCACAUUUCUGCUCACAAAGCUAAAAGACAACACUGAGAACUGACGCUGCGCUGCGUUUUCCUCACAUAAGCCUCCAAACACCGGGCCGUUAUUAAAACUUAAAACCCUGUGAGUCAAUAUCAUCCAUCAUAGGUGAGAACCGAGGGCCCGUCCAGGAGCCCACCGGGUUUUACUGGUCGUCAGGUGGGGGAGUGGAGAGAGCGGCCACUUAAUGACCAAUCCUGAGCAUUUCAACAGUCAGUAGUAUUCCUCCAUAAUUUUGAGACACAGUGUUGUCAGUGAAUGGUCCUCACUGAAGCCCAGGCAGAUGAGCUGAGCAGAGUGAAGACUCCCUGACUUUGACUCUGACUGUGGACCAUGUGGUGUUUGUGGGCAGUCGUUCCCUGCGGCAGCAUGAGACUUACAUAAUGGCAACCUGUGAGCCGUCCUGUUUGUUUUCAUUUACGGACAAGUCAUUAGGAGCUGCGUGUGAGGCCGUGCUGUGAAUUGGAACUUAUUGCCCUUCGACAUGAUUAAUUGCUCACGGUCUGGAGAGUGAUAAGGCGCUGGCAUAUUAGAAGGAAAGACAGGGAGGAAAAAACACCAGUGAGCUUCUUUAAAAGGUGACAUUUAAACAGGUAAAUAAAACUGGAGUAGGAUUAUUUUAUAAUUCACAAAUCUGCUGUUAUUGAUGUAAGAAAAAAAAACAUUUCACCAGUGAGAGAUUAGACAUAGUGUAACGUGCUUUACCAGAAUUUUCAUGAAAAAAAUGUGUUUAUUUAAAAAAAAAUCCUUGAACUUUUUUAAAAAGUUUGAUCAGUUUUUUUAACCGGUCUGAUACCAAUGUUCAUGAACCUUCAUUUUCUGAGCAAACCUUCAAUACAAAUGUAGAAUUUUUAAGUUCAAUAGACUCCAAAAAUGUGGGACAGACAAGUUGGGUCACACUAUUAGGCCACAUCCCUUAUCAUUUUCAGAGACUGAAAUUGAGAUUGAAGGAAGGAAAAAAGGAGAAAGGAAACAGAGGAAUCUGAGAAAAGGAAGAAGGAAAAAAGAAAGAUGAAAGGAAUUUAAGAGGGAAAGGUGAGGAUAAAGGUGAGGAAACCAGGGCAGAAAAAAAGAAGAAGAACGACUGAUAAACGUUGGGGAGUAAGGAGAGGGAAGGGAAGAAGCAAGGAAAGAAUGAAGAAAGAAAGGAUGGAGGGAGGUAGGGAGAGGAAAAGAAAUUUGUAUGCACAAAAUAAGGGAUAGGACGUAGGAAAUGAAAGUGAAGAAUGAGAAAGAGGAAGGUAACUGAGGUUAGGAAGCAAAGAAAAAAGAGGAGAUAGAUGUCAAAGAAAAGGAACCUGAAAAGAAGAAGAAAGAAAAAAUAGGAAAUAAAACAGUGAAACAACAGAUAAAUUAAAAACCCUCAGAGAUUGACUCUGUACUAAUUCGAAGUGGCUCAGUCUCUCCACUGCGUUGGCUCCGUGCCGCGCUCCACAUCAAAGAACUCUCCGGAGCGUUUGAACAAAGUCAAUCAGCUCUUUCCUCUUAUUUAUUUAUUACAUAUUUAUCACUGUGAAAAUAGGCUGUCCUACAUCCUGCAUGACAGCGGCACACAGAGCUCAUGUGGAGAAAUCAUUAUCUAAUUUCACGGCUUGAAAAUGUCGCCGGCUCUGAACACUGAGGGCUGCUUUGUUUUAGGGAACAUCCUCCGCUGACAGAUCGUGUCAGGAGGCUAAUGGUGAGGUGGGUGAACGCACGUCCGCCUUCUGGAAGUCUGUCUCAGCUGCUACACUAAUACUGCUCACUUUGGUGAGUGUUGACUGCACUUCAGGGUAUUCCCACUGUCUCCCAGGGAAAACCAGGCUCAACUGUAACUCAUCCAGGUGCAGUCAGUACAGAUGCUACUGUACAUGUGACAAAAAACACCAUGUGACCAAUCUGUGCAAGUGAGUUGUAAAUACAGAUCAGUGUUUGUUCAAUCACAAAACAAAUGACUAAAUGACAUAGUGAUAACUUCCUGUCUGUUGACCUAAAUGAAGAAGAAAUUCUUUCAAAUUUUAUUUGGUGUUGCCGUUUCUCUCAGGCCGAUUUAUUUUAUUUUAUUUUAUUUUUUGCUCUAUCAUGAUAAACAACACCAGAAUCUAAAACAUUGCAUCAUUUCUGAACUUGGGGUGAAGCUGUUUCCAAAGCACUUGAUCUAUUUAUCAAUAUUUUAUACACAAGUGUCCUCUUGCUCAGAGUUUGGAUGUGUUCUUGCAAUAAAUGUAAAAAAAAAAAAAAAAAAAAAAAUAGAAAGAGGCAUCACAUCCAUUUCUUUG
This is a long non-coding RNA of Cynoglossus semilaevis (tongue sole), 5958 nucleotides long. RefSeq lists it as uncharacterized. NCBI's taxonomy places the organism in Eukaryota, Metazoa, Chordata, Actinopteri, Pleuronectiformes, Cynoglossidae. The record is from RefSeq and is a predicted model, not a curated record. The transcript is spliced from 5 exons.